Molecule: non-coding RNA, 931 nt
Organism: Chiloscyllium plagiosum (whitespotted bambooshark)
Lineage: Eukaryota; Metazoa; Chordata; Chondrichthyes; Orectolobiformes; Hemiscylliidae
Source: RefSeq, a predicted model, not a curated record
GGGACAUAAAAAAUAAUACUUCUAAUAAAUAGUACAAUAUUGCUCCAGGGAAAACUAAUGCUGAAUUUGAUGAUGAAGUGUUACAGACUGGUGACUUUCUGGAUAAAAACUUAAUUGAAGCCAAUCCUUUGAACCAGCUCUGGGAGAAAAUAAAAACAAAAUGAAGGAUUACAGUAAUGGAAGAGAGAAGUUGAACUGGAAUGCAAUAACAGACUAUUAUAAAGGCAUUAGUGGUACCCAGUGAAUCUCUGUCAGGAAGAGCUCUACACUGCAGAGUCUCAGCUCCAAGAACAAAGCCAGUGAAGGAACAGGGGAUGCAUCCUUCACCAAGUCAGAGCCUUUCACUUCAGUUGUAUUCCAGAUUAGAACUAUUCAAAUCCUUUGUUAUAUCUCACCACAAAAUCAACAGAGGUGGUGACAAUUGCUCUGCACUUCCAGGACCUCCUGGUUGUCAUGCUAGGGAUUAUAUAUGUUUAACAUUCCAAACAGCAAACUCAGACAGGCUUACUUUAAACAGUUGCUCAUCACUAGGGAAUCAGAUUAAAUGCGGAUUACAUCAUUGUUGCAGGGGCAUUCAUUCUAGAACACUCUCAUCUCUACAGCAUGUCAGCUUUAUUUCUGUGAACAAAAUGGAUGUCUUCAAAUUCCACAGAGAAUCAGAUUUGACACUGGCAACAGAUGAAAUAACAUGAAAUUCCAGGAGGAAGAGCCUCUUUCUUUGAUCUUUCAUAUGGUGACAUCAUCUUAAUGUUAAAACCUAUGAGUGGAUGUUCUUCAGCAUCUGUAAAUCAAAUUGGCCCUUAGACCCAAUCAAGGAAAGAGUUUUUCUCUGCAUAAAAACAACAUAAGAAAACCACAUCUCUUCACAUUAAGGGCAUCCAUCAGCUCCCAGGUGCAUUGAUGUUGGAAGAUAUUCACAAGGUCAACUGCU